This 273-nucleotide long non-coding RNA is filed under the name Gossypium barbadense (sea-island cotton). Its description in RNAcentral is "long non-coding RNA (GBAR_LNC000532)". Lineage: Eukaryota; Viridiplantae; Streptophyta; Magnoliopsida; Malvales; Malvaceae. The record is from RNAcentral.
ACACCCUGCAUGCCACAAUAUGGCCAUAAUAGACCCAUCCACCCUGUACACAGCAUAGAACCAUAAUUGGCUCAUCCACCCUACACACCACAUAUUAUAGAGCUAAGCCACUAAAAUAAUGAUAUGCAGCUAAUCUAGCAUAUGUACAGUACAGUGCGGUAAUCCAUUGUACAAAUGUAUUGCAGUUAAAACUGCAAAAUCAAAUCAAUCUUCCUUCUCUCUAUAUCUAAACCCCAAAGUUUUCAUGCUAAUGCAGUAAUGCACACAGUACGC